Vicia faba (fava bean) is the source of this 216-nucleotide non-coding RNA. The record is from the annotation of a GenBank genome assembly. NCBI's taxonomy places the organism in Eukaryota, Viridiplantae, Streptophyta, Magnoliopsida, Fabales, Fabaceae.
AUGGAAAAUCAACAAUCUAAGAGCUUUGAUCCAAGAGAAAACAACAUGGAAUAUCAUGUGAUUGUGAUUGAAGAAGAGCCUAAAUCAUCUUUUCCAAUUAAUUCAAGUGAUUAUGAAAGAAACGCAACAGAUCAAGUGAUUGCGAUGGAAGAAUCAAAUUCGUCUGGCGGCGAACAAGGGAUGAAGUUACUAAGCAUUCUCUCAAUGGUAUUAUGA